Molecule: long non-coding RNA, 2487 nt
Filed under: Suricata suricatta (meerkat)
Lineage: Eukaryota; Metazoa; Chordata; Mammalia; Carnivora; Herpestidae
Description: lncRNA (ENSSSUG00005003814.1)
Source: RNAcentral
AGCGGGGAGGGGUGGGCGCUGCACUGGAGGUAGGGGGAGUGCAGCAAGGGCAAGCGGGAAGGGGGAGGCGUUGCAGCCGAGGAGGGUGGUGCAGAGAAGAGGUGGGGAGAGGCGAGGAGGGGCCUCAGCGGAGCGGGGGGCGUACAGAGAGUAGGGUGUGCGGCCUGGGCCGUGGGAUAGAGCUGGAGGUGUGCGGAGGGGCUACGGGAGCGAACGGGGACGCGGGGAGGCAAGGGGGAGAGGGGCCUCGCUCGCGUCGGCCAGAGCGCCCCCUCCUGUUGAGCGGGUUUGCGCUCCAUCGCCAGGCCCCCCGGGUCCACUCCUUGGCGCUGUCCAGCUCUUCCCAGGAGAGCUGGAGUGUCCCUUCUUCUGACCCUGGACCGUCUGUCGUCUUGACAGCCUUUUCUCUACGGGAGCCGGGUCGCCACUCUCCUCUGAGCCUGGGAGCAUCCCUUCAUCCCUGUUUAUUCCACCAUCGGAGAGACCGGUGUUCCGUGUCGGAACCCGCGGUCUGCUGGUGGAGAGCCUCCAGCGCCAGGAGACACGGCCUGCGAGUGGUAACUUCAUGUUUCUGAAAAAGCACGCCCGCACCCUGCCCCUCAUCCACUUUUCAUGGACCACACGGACUCGCCCAGAGAGGUGAGGGGCGUGCGCGGGACACACAGCCGGGCUCGGGGGCAGGGCCAGGCCCUCUCACCCGCUGGGCAUCCUCACAUCUUCACGGCCACAAAUUCUGCCCAUUACGGUCCUUCCUAUUCUGGAUGGUGAGAAAUAGGAGCUACGUGAUGAGCUUGCUGUGACCGACGUGGCCUUGUCUUUCCCCUCGGACGAGCAGGUGGUGUAGGUGUGGGAUUGCCCGUGGGGGUCUGGCCGUGACCGAAGGAGGCCAGGGGAACUCACGCGCUGGCCACUCUUGAACCCGGGGAGCACUCCCCGCUCGGGUGGCGGGUGGAGCACCACCGGAGCAGCCCUCCGGUGGGAGGCCGGUCUGUCCUUGGACUUCCCUUCCAGUUUCCCAGCCUGGGCGCUGGGAUUAAGGGACACGUGUCCCCGGGACUGCUCUAGGGUGGGCUGAGGUCACGGUGGGUGCUGUGCGGGGCGUGAGACCUGCUUGCCUUCCAGGCCGUCUCAGCGGUGAGGGUCCUGGCCUAGGCCGUCAGCACCAUGUCACGGGGGGCUGCCCUCGGACCUGCGUGAAGACAGAGGCUCCAAGUCUUGCCGUGGGGCAGAGCAUGAUGGGAGCACAGCGCAGACCCAGCUGCGGGUCUGCUCCGCAGGCCUGGUUCUAGCUUCGCCGUCUGGAGCAGAGGUCAUCGGUGGCCUUUAGGCACUCAUCCCUCUGAGACUCAGUUUGCUGGUUCUGUGGAGUGGGCAUGGUGGCUGGUGCCCCUGAGCCUUUGUCUAGGAUCCUACUCGUACGUGAGAUGUGAGCGCACAAAGCCAAGACCAGGAGGAAGGUGGCGCCCCAGCAUGGCGGCCAGGCUGCUUGGGCGCCCACUUCCGGUUGCUGGCCUGGAUUCUGCCUGCGGGGCAGAGAGGCCUACUGCUCUCGGGGCAGACGGCGUGUGGCCCAGCCUACACCCCGGCAAGGUGAGGCUUUGGCUCUGUCACCUUUCACGACUCCUCAAAGUGGAGGGACCCAGUCUGGGCCGUGGGACCCUAAGGUGUUCAUGUGAUUUCAUUUCCGGCUCCCAGUGGGGAGCGCCAGCCCGCCUGAGGCCGGCUCAGAGGACGUGAGCUGUUGCCAUGUGAAAACCAGUGAUUUUCCCAAACAGUGAGCAGUCCUGGUGAGGUCAUGGGCCCUGCGCGAGGGCCCAAAUCGAAUCGGUUCUGGUGCCGUGUGGGCUCCCGGAACACCGCCCCGAGGUGACGACAGCCUGGCUCGGGGGCAGGGGGGUGCCGGGGCCUGCCCGCGGGGCUCCCUGCGUGUUUCUGGGGCCACAUUUCAGAAACGAAGUCCACUCAGAGGAGGGCAGGGCUCAGCAGACUCCCCCGGGUCCAGGGCCCCCAGAAACAGGGCCCUGGGGCACCGGAUGGCCCAUGUCCCCACAGCAGCAGCAGCAGCCGCCCGGGGUUUGGAGCAGGACAGCAUCUGGGGCUGAGGUCCCGGGUCCCGGGGGGGGGGGGGGGGGGGGGGGGGGGGGGGGGGGGGGGGGGGGGGGGGGGGGGGGAAGCACUGAGUGAGUGGGCACAGGCGGGGCCCAAACGGAGCCUGAGGUGGCCUCCCCUACGCGCCCUCAUGCCUGGCUGAAACCUAAUCCUCAUUCUUGGGCCCUCAUGUCACGGCCUCGGCCUGGCUUCCUGUCAGCGGGCUACCGCCAAGCUGUUCCCACUCUUCUCUCUUCCUCCAGAGGAAGGACCUUUGCCGAUGAAGUCAUGGGAAUCAAAGCUCCCUCUGCCCCCGAAAACAGGGGGAGCCUGCGGUCGACUUGCUGUGUGGCCUCCCGAUGUCCAGGCAGGCCACCUCUGCUGUUUACUGCAACCUUC